CUUUCGCAGUAUGCCUACGAUGCAAAAACGCUUCCAUAUAUCUGUGAAAAGCUGAAUCCUUUACAUCUCCUUGUUUAUUUAGUGAAGUAUUGCUGUCGAACGCCAUUGGAUACUGCUUUCAUCGAUUCAAUCUCAUCAAUAUAUUUAUCUUCCACGAUGACAUCUGUUCAUUGUAUCAUCGUCGUCGCUCUUGCAAUCUCUACGAAUUGUUGCGAAUUGUACAUUUCAGAAGACGGCGAUCUAUUCGAGAUGACCGAGUCGACAUCAACCUAUGUCACAGUAUUUCCGUCGAAUCUAAUAUUUCCAAGACAAGGACAGUAUCAUCCUUGCCAUCGUCCUCGUCUUCUCAAUUUUUAUUUUGGCUGCUACAAUUUGGUAUCUGUGUUAAAAAUACGCAAAUACAGGUCACGGAUUUCGAAUUCAAACCAAUCCUUUCACAUUUCUAACUGUACCUCCAGCCAUAGCCUUCUCUAUUAGAGAAAGCCGAAAGGAACGCUAUCCCUUGCAUGUGGGAAAAGUG
This is a long non-coding RNA of Daphnia magna, 520 nucleotides long. RefSeq lists it as uncharacterized. The transcript is spliced from 3 exons. The record is from RefSeq and is a predicted model, not a curated record. NCBI's taxonomy places the organism in Eukaryota, Metazoa, Arthropoda, Branchiopoda, Diplostraca, Daphniidae.